Non-coding RNA from Acanthosepion pharaonis, 113 nucleotides. Lineage: Eukaryota; Metazoa; Mollusca; Cephalopoda; Sepiida; Sepiidae. The record is from the annotation of a GenBank genome assembly.
UUACGGCCAUAUCACGUUCAACACCGAUUCCCGUACGAUCACCGAAGUUAAACAACGUCGAGCCUGGUCAGUACUUAGAUGAGUAACCGCUUGAGAAUAUCAGGUGCUGCAAG